AUGGAAAAUAAGUGUACUGAUUGUAACAGAGAUAAAUUACUGCUUUAGUCAUGAUGAGUCAGGAUAGCAUCUGAGAUAUUGAAAGGUUUUCACUGGGGUGGUCUCAUUUUUUGAUCAUGAUUUUCAGGUUUUGAAAAUUGUAGGUAAGCAGCUACGAAACAACACCCCACGUUACCUUUGUAUUUUGCAACAUGUAAAAUAAGCCUUUAGGCAGAUAAAAUGAAACAUACAGAAGCCUUCUGAGUUUUAUGGCAGCUAAGAGCAUUUUUUAUCCCAAGAACUUUAAAAAUAGCAUCUUUGUGCAUUUAUCUCUCAGGGCUUUUGUGAUUUUUUUGAGAGUCGAUUGAGCCUUCUUAUCCCAGCUUCCUUGAACUUUUGGUUGUGAGUGGCAAAGACCUAAAGUCAGGUACAUUUCCUUAACUGUCCCCUAAAGUAUUGGUCCUUAAUUCCUGUGAACAACUGUAAUAAGCUGCUUUUUGAAGGUCAUUUACACCUGCAUUGCUAAGGUAUUCAGUGCCAUAAAAAGAUUUGACAAAGCACUACUCAUCUGGGCAGAAUUUUAAGCAUGACAUUAACUGUGUUUAACUCUGCUUGGUAUCAGUGGGGCUCACAAUGAGUUCUGAAUGUUUCACUGAAUAAGGAUGGAUUCAAGCAGGUGCAUAUUGUUAAGCAGGCACAUAAGUACCUAAGAGAGAUAAAUGGAGAGAGUUACAGAGCAGCUGGUAUCUCUGCUGUCCUAUCAACGCGAUUCCAUUUGGUGAGCAGGCUAUGUUACGGUCAUGAAAUGUGGUCUAAUAGAAGGAUCAUCAAGAUGUCAACGUAGCUGGGAACAGAGAGUGUGGGGGUAACAUCCAGAAUUCCUGGGUUUUCUUCAUAAUUUUAAGGAGGCCCCAUUUUACUCGUAUGUGCGCUGUGUGGUUUUCCUGGCACUCCCAGACUUGUAAUGGUAGCUCUGUAUUGAUCUGUCACUUCCUCCUUCUUUGGAUGAGAAUUUAUUUCACACACAUACACCACUCAGUUCAUGCUCUGGUCUGUUGGGAAUAUUUAGCCCUCUCGUGAUACCCAGCCCAAUUUGAAGAAAUCAAUUCAUUCAGACUUGUGAAGACAAUGAUCCUGCAGAAGGAAAAUAAAUGAGCAGCGGAUGUUUACUCUAAUGGAUGAUGAAAAGCUAAAGUGUUUUAAACACUAAUUUAUUGCCAUUGAGACUAGCAGUUGGAUUUAGGCACAGGAAGGGCUGAAGCUCCUGAAUUGGUUCACUUUCUUGCUGACAUCUCCAUUUUUCUAGUUUAAAACCCAAAGUUUGUAUUAAUUAGUUAAAGUGGACAGUGUCUGUAAGGCACAGCAGAUGGGCAUGAAUUUUGUCUGAGGUUCCAGUUCUUAAGCAGUCGUCCUACAGCCUAUGUUAAUGUUAGUUAUAGAAGAGACUUAACCCUGUUGCUCUUCUGACUAUUUCCAGUGUACAUCUAUUUGGGAGGUAAUGAAAUCAGAGCUGUACUUGCUGACUGGCAGUUUAUCAGUUGGGGACAUAAUUCUGGACACAAUUGUAUACAAAAGCAAACUGAACUACUCAGCAUAAAGAGAUUAAAACUUUGAGGAGGCCUGGCAGUGUUUGGAGCUAUUAUUAAUUAGUAUUGUGACCAUCAUCUGAUCUCUGAAGCCUGGGUAAAGUCCUGUUUGCCACUGUGGUAAGUGCUAUCCCAAGAAAAAAUAAAGAAUGUGCUUGCACCAAUGUGCUUAGGAAUGGAGGAUAAGAAAACAAUGAGGAGGCUGCAGAAAACAUGGUAAGCAGGGAUAUUUGCAGAGCUAUCUCUGCAGUCCUGAUUUGCAGAGAGUAAUCGUGGCAAUCUUUUUUUGUGCAAUUAGGACCUGCUACAACAGAAAUAGUUUAUAGUUUCUUUGGAGCAGUUUCAGUAUUCAGAGACCAGCAUGGUAGCAUCUCAUGUGCAUUUGAUAUGGAAUGGGAAUGCUGAGUCUCAGGGAGAAGAGAGGGUGGGUGCUAGGCUAAAUUUGAAAGAAUAGUGUACAGGUGUAGCAGCUGUAGCUUCCCCAGGUAAAAUGCACUUUUGGGAGCAUGUCUCCUUUUAGAUCCUCUGCAGAGGUAAAUCACAGUCUUUCCAGCAUUACACUAUCUCCUGUAGGAGAAAAAUAAAAGGUUUUAAAAGUGCAGACAGGCACUGAACCAUUUUACAGCCCUGACUAUCCCAGCAGGAUUGACAAAGGCCAAAUGCUCAGCUUCACUAAAUGUAUUUCAUUGAAUGGUAUUGACAUUUUCCAUCUUCCCUUUCAUUAUGCCCCUUCCAAAAUCAUUAUGUAUAGGAAUGAAUUAUCUUCCAAGUGGAAAUGAAAGAAUAUAUAGUCUUUUUUCAAAGGCUUUGAGUUUUACUUUUGUACAGAGGGAGUUGGGCUAGGAACUAUCAGUGGGCAUGCACAUAGGAAUAUUUUUGUGUUCCUCCCUUCCAUGAAACUUGCAGGAGUUGGUGCUGAGAGGUGUAUGGGGAAAGCUGCUCCCACUGAGCCGUACCAUAGGCAGUGUGUUGCUUCAUGCUGGGUUUGCCAUUGCUCCUUCAAGGUGUGUGGCUUUGUUCCUAUGCCAAAAAAAACAACAACAACAAAAAAACAACAACAACAAAAAAAAACUCAGAGAUGGCUUGGAAGUAAAAUGUUCACAAGUCAAGAAAUGCGAUAUUCAAUUUCACAUGUCAGCUUCAAGUCUGAUGCUGAUAAUCACUGCCUUAGAGUACACUCCUCCUUCAUGCCCUUGCUUUAAUCAUUUCACAGUCCUAAAACAGCACUCAGACCAUCAUGGUUGUUAUCACUGCUGCUCCCCUCCAAAUAGUGAAGCUUUGCUGGUCCCACUGGAGGCUUUAGAUCAUCUCAGCUGUUUGUCACAAACCAACCUCAUCUUUGAGUUUCUAUAUCCACCCCAAACCUACAUUAUGCCAUGGGUGUAUGAUUUCUACAGCACAGUGCAUCCAGAGCUUUGCAAGCUGAGCCCUGAAGAGGCAGGUUCAUCUGACAAUGUUGUGUAUCUGUUAACACACAGAUUCACUGCAACAGGCUGGCCACUUAGGCCGAGAAAAUACAAGAGAUUGCAU
Molecule: non-coding RNA, 3095 nt
Organism: Anas platyrhynchos (mallard)
Lineage: Eukaryota; Metazoa; Chordata; Aves; Anseriformes; Anatidae
Source: RefSeq, a predicted model, not a curated record